AAGGAAUUUAUUAGGAAUAUUCCAGGAAGC
RNAcentral lists this non-coding RNA (30 nucleotides) under Mus musculus (house mouse). The record is from RNAcentral. Lineage: Eukaryota; Metazoa; Chordata; Mammalia; Rodentia; Muridae.